Phrynosoma platyrhinos (Desert horned lizard) is the source of this 72-nucleotide non-coding RNA. NCBI's taxonomy places the organism in Eukaryota, Metazoa, Chordata, Lepidosauria, Squamata, Phrynosomatidae. The record is from the annotation of a GenBank genome assembly.
GCCAGUGUGGCAUAGUGGGUUGAGUGUUGAACUAUGACUCUGGAGACCAGGGUUUGAAUCCCAGCUUGGCCA